UGGGGAAUAUUGCACAAUGGGGGAAACCCUGAUGCAGCGACGCCGCGUGAAAGGAAGAAGUAUCUCGGUAUGUAAACUUCUAUCAGCAGGGAAGAUAGUGACGGUACCUGACUAAGAAGCCCCGGCUAACUACGUGCC
RNAcentral lists this ribosomal RNA (138 nucleotides) under uncultured bacterium. RNAcentral describes it as "partial 16S ribosomal RNA". It matches the Rfam family "Bacterial small subunit ribosomal RNA", at positions 355 to 509 of the family's 1533-position model. The record is from RNAcentral.